Molecule: non-coding RNA, 191 nt
Organism: Procambarus clarkii (red swamp crayfish)
Lineage: Eukaryota; Metazoa; Arthropoda; Malacostraca; Decapoda; Cambaridae
Source: RefSeq, a predicted model, not a curated record
CAUCGCUCCAACGCUCAGCGCCCAUAAUUUGCUCAACUUCCCAGCUCCAUCGCAGCUAAAGUUGUGGGAAGCUGCUCCUCCUAGAUGCAAUCCACUGAAGACUCCAAAAGAUCAUCAAGGCCAGGGAAAACUCCAGAGUACCAAGGAAAUCAUCCACCUGUAAAAGAAAAAUAAAGUAUAUCAAACAGGAA